This 925-nucleotide ribosomal RNA is filed under the name uncultured bacterium. RNAcentral describes it as "bacterial SSU rRNA". It matches the Rfam family "Bacterial small subunit ribosomal RNA", at positions 11 to 915 of the family's 1533-position model. The record is from RNAcentral.
GUUUGAUCCUGGCUCAGGAUGAACGCUGGCGGCGUGCCUAAUACAUGCAAGUCGAGCGAAUGGAUUAAGAGCUUGCUCUUAUGAAGUUAGCGGCGGACGGGUGAGUAACACGUGGGUAACCUGCCCAUAAGACUGGGAUAACUCCGGGAAACCGGGGCUAAUACCGGAUAACAUUUUGAACCGCAUGGUUCGAAAUUGAAAGGCGGCUUCGGCUGUCACUUAUGGAUGGACCCGCGUCGCAUUAGCUAGUUGGUGAGGUAACGGCUCACCAAGGCAACGAUGCGUAGCCGACCUGAGAGGGUGAUCGGCCACACUGGGACUGAGACACGGCCCAGACUCCCACGGGAGGCAGCAGUAGGGAAUCUUCCGCAAUGGACGAAAGUCUGACGGAGCAACGCCGCGUGAGUGAUGAAGGCUUUCGGGUCGUAAAACUCUGUUGUUAGGGAAGAACAAGUGCUAGUUGAAUAAGCUGGCACCUUGACGGUACCUAACCAGAAAGCCACGGCUAACUACGUGCCAGCAGCCGCGGUAAUACGUAGGUGGCAAGCGUUAUCCGGAAUUAUUGGGCGUAAAGCGCGCGCAGGUGGUUUCUUAAGUCUGAUGUGAAAGCCCACGGCUCAACCGUGGAGGGUCAUUGGAAACUGGGAGACUUGAGUGCAGAAGAGGAAAGUGGAAUUCCAUGUGUAGCGGUGAAAUGCGUAGAGAUAUGGAGGAACACCAGUGGCGAAGGCGACUUUCUGGUCUGUAACUGACACUGAGGCGCGAAAGCGUGGGGAGCAAACAGGAUUAGAUACCCUGGUAGUCCACGCCGUAAACGAUGAGUGCUAAGUGUUAGAGGGUUUCCGCCCUUUAGUGCUGAAGUUAACGCAUUAAGCACUCCGCCUGGGGAGUACGGCCGCAAGGCUGAAACUCAAAGGAAUUGACG